UCUACGAUCAUUAGCUGAUGUGAGAGCAUGAUCAGCCACACGGGCACUGAGACACGGGCCCGACUCCUACGGGAGGCAGCAGUAAGGAAUAUUGGUCAAUGGACGAAAGUCUGAACCAGCUAUGCCGCGUGAAGGAUUAAGGUCCUCUGGAUUGUAAACUUCUUUUAUAUGGGACGAAAAAAGGUCUUUCUAGAUCACUUGACGGUACCAUAUGAAUAAGCACCGGCUAACUCCGUGCCAGCAGCCGCGGUAAUACAGAGGGUGCAAGCGUUAUCCGGAUUCACUGGGUUUAAAGGGUGCGUAGGCGGGCAGGUAAGUCAGUGGUGAAAUCCUGGAGCUUAACUCCAGAACUGCCAUUGAUACUAUCUGUCUUGAAUAUUGUGGAGGUAAGCGGAAUAUGUCAUGUAGCGGUGAAAUGCUUAGAUAUGACAUAGAACACCUAUUGCGAAGGCAGCUUACUACGCAUAUAUUGACGCUGAGGCACGAAAGCGUGGGGAUCAAACAGGAUUAGAUACCCUGGUAGUCCACGCCCUAAACGAUGGAUACUCGACAUAUGCGAUACACUGUAUGUGUCUGAGCGAAAGCAUUAAGUAUCC
Molecule: ribosomal RNA, 596 nt
Filed under: uncultured bacterium
Lineage: Bacteria
Description: bacterial SSU rRNA
Rfam family: Bacterial small subunit ribosomal RNA
Source: RNAcentral